RNAcentral lists this ribosomal RNA (542 nucleotides) under uncultured fungus. Its description in RNAcentral is "eukaryotic LSU rRNA". The stretch from base 129 to 282 matches the Rfam family "5.8S ribosomal RNA". The record is from RNAcentral. Lineage: Eukaryota; Fungi.
CAAACACCUGUGAGCCAUCUGUAGGGGAGCGUAAGCUCCUCUACGUUACUACUACAUACCCCAAUCAAAUCAUAGAACGUGAUCGAGCUCGAACGCCUUUGAAAGCGUGAGAGUCAUAAUCUAAAUACAACUUUCAACAACGGAUCUCUUGGCUCUCGCAUCGAUGAAGAACGCAGCGAAAUGCGAUAAGUAAUGUGAAUUGCAGAAUUCAGUGAAUCAUCGAAUCUUUGAACGCACCUUGCGCCCCUUGGUAUUCCGAGGGGCAUGCCUGUUUGAGCGUCAUUAAAUUCUCAACCCUUCUGGCUUUCUCGUAAGGCCAGACGAGGCUUGGAUUUGAGGGUCUGCUGGCGAUGAGCCAGCUCCCUUUAAAGACAUUAGCGGGACGAUAAGGACUCCUUGCGAUCGACGUGAUAAUUAUCUGCGUCCAUAUCCGAGGUAUCUGAAGUCUGCUUCCAACCGUCUUCGGACAUUCAUCUUGACCAUUUUGACCUCAAAUCAGGUAGGACUACCCGCUGAACUUAAGCAUAUCAAUAAGCGGAGGA